This is a long non-coding RNA of Triticum dicoccoides, 807 nucleotides long. RefSeq lists it as uncharacterized. NCBI's taxonomy places the organism in Eukaryota, Viridiplantae, Streptophyta, Magnoliopsida, Poales, Poaceae. The transcript has 4 exons. The record is from RefSeq and is a predicted model, not a curated record.
UUCCCAACCCGCCUAUCGUCUCGCACGCAUUCGCCCCCUCCUCUCUUCACACCCACCUCCUCUCUGCAGCAGGGGGAGAGAAAUCCCUGGGUCAUCGACGACCGCAGCCGGCAAGAGAACAAACGGCGGCGACGAAUCACGGGGGGCAGCCCGCUCAGGCGAGACCACAUCGCUCCGCGCGGAGGCGAAGCACCGCCAGUUUCGAUUGAGAGGGCGACCGCACGGCCAGUGAAAGGGAGGGAGAAGGUACAGGCGGACAAAUCGGCGACGCGAAGACGAUGAGGGCGCGGCGAGCUGCUUCGUCCCCGUGGGGAAGAGAGUACGUUUGCUGUUUUUUGGUGUAUCUACAUGCAGGCUUUUUGAGCAACAGAAAUAGUGAAAACUAGGCAAGGACAACUUUCCCACCAUCCCUGGCAUGGCAGUUUUUAAGAUGGAGGACUCCCCAGAUCAAUACGAUGGCAAGGCAAGGGGCAAGACAAUAGGCAAGAUAGUAAACAAGACAAUUCAGGAUCAUAGCAACUUCCACUAGCAUCCAGAUUCAGCUGGAGGAGGGGGAGGCAAGAAAUAGGGGGGGCAUGAAUUUGUGCGAGAAAUCCCAAGUCAAGUUUCGCAACACGCUGUACAGGACACAUUUUAGGAAACUAGUAUGUCCAUUUCACGGGGAGGCACAGAGGGUCUACCAGAUCAAGACUAACAGGAUCAUGCCUUUUGUUUUUGCCAAAAGGAUAGGAGGCCCUUUACCUUGGUGUUUUUACUGGGGAGAAAAAUUUGCCCAGUCUCUAUCAAAUUCUUGCCGAUGUUUUUCCA